RNAcentral lists this ribosomal RNA (548 nucleotides) under uncultured Glomus. RNAcentral describes it as "SSU rRNA". It matches the Rfam family "Eukaryotic small subunit ribosomal RNA", at positions 548 to 1098 of the family's 1831-position model. The record is from RNAcentral. Lineage: Eukaryota; Fungi; Glomeromycota; Glomeromycetes; Glomerales; Glomeraceae.
UUGGAGGGCAAGUCUGGUGCCAGCAGCCGCGGUAAUUCCAGCUCCAAUAGCGUAUAUUAAAGUUGCUGCAGUUAAAAAGCUCGUAGUUGAAUUUCGGGACCAAUAUGUUGGUCGUGCCUCGGUACGUACUGGCAUUGUUGGUUUCUCCCUUCUGAAGAACCAUGAUGUCAUUUAUUUGGUGUCAUGGGGAAUCAGGACUGUUACUUUGAAAAAAUUAGAGUGUUUAAAGCAGGCUCACGCUUGAAUACAUUAGCAUGGAAUAAUGAAAUAGGACGUUUGAUUCUAUUUUGUUGGUUUCUAGGAUCGACGUAAUGAUUAAUAGGGAUAGUUGGGGGCAUUAGUAUUCAAUUGUCAGAGGUGAAAUUCUUGGAUUUAUUGAAGACUAACUACUGCGAAAGCAUUUGCCAAGGAUGUUUUCAUUAAUCAAGAACGAAAGUUAGGGGAUCGAAGACGAUCAGAUACCGUCGUAGUCUUAACCAUAAACUAUGCCGACUAGGGAUCGGAUGAUGUUAAUUUUUUAAUGACUCAUUCGGCACCUUACGGGAAAC